AGCAGAUGCAGUUACUACUCUAAGACGCAUUUUUAAAUCAGCUGUAGUAUCUUUAUAUGAGAAAGUGGAUUUACCUCGAAUUAUAAUCAAUUUUUUUUUUAAUUUCGUAAAAUAUGAAAAUUUUUAUUUAAGAAAUUUGUGAAUUUGCAAGUGCACAGUCUAGCCAUAAGAAUUUUAUUGGUGGUAAAAGUAUACUUGAUGCAGGGCAUUUGAUUAAAUGUGGUAUACUGCAAUCAGAUAAUACUUGUAACAAUGUGUAUAAAAUAAUUGCAUUUUAUUUGCAAACUUCUCACUUAAAAGAUGCUCCACAAGAAAUUGUAGGCGCAAUUUCACAUAUGGAAAAAUUAUGGGAAUUUCAUGUUCGUGCAAGGCUGGACUAAGUGAAAAUUGUAAGCUUGUAGUUGCUAUACUUCUUUACUGUAACAGAAAUGAUCUCGAAAAACUUCAGCCAUUCAACUCCCUGAGGGUGCUAUCUUUUUGUCCUAACAACCAGUUCUUUCGAGCCGAAAAUGGAUGUUUGAGACAGAUUUGUAUUUAGUCAGUUGCAUUUAAUGUUGUUUCCUUUAAAUACAGAUGGCUGAUAGUAACAGUACGAGAUGGUGACUUAGUAAUGUAGAAAGAUGUCAAAUUAUGAACAGUUGUACAUCGAACUGAUGUUAUGUAUUUGCAUACAGUGAUUAAGUCGGACAUAAAAUGUUACAUGUGUAUUUGUUGCUAUCAUGAAAAAUAGUCACUAAUUUAUUAAAACAACGAUAAUUUAAUGCAUUAGUAUUUUAUACUUUUUUUAAAAUGAGUCAAAUAAAUUGAGAGCAGUUUGCUUAUAA
Microplitis demolitor is the source of this 824-nucleotide long non-coding RNA. RefSeq lists it as uncharacterized. The record is from RefSeq and is a predicted model, not a curated record. Lineage: Eukaryota; Metazoa; Arthropoda; Insecta; Hymenoptera; Braconidae. The transcript has 3 exons.